This 107-nucleotide non-coding RNA is filed under the name Aminobacterium colombiense. Its description in RNAcentral is "SAM-I sequence". It matches the Rfam family "SAM riboswitch aptamer (S box leader)". From Rfam's summary of the family: The SAM riboswitch is found upstream of a number of genes which code for proteins involved in methionine or cysteine biosynthesis in Gram-positive bacteria. The SAM riboswitch acts at the level of transcription termination control. The record is from RNAcentral. Lineage: Bacteria; Thermotogati; Synergistota; Synergistia; Synergistales; Aminobacteriaceae. RNAcentral also lists the same sequence under 1 other name.
CUCUUAUCCUGAGAGGUGGAGGGACUGGCCCGAUGAAGCCCGGCAACCUGCCAAUAGCAGCAAGGCAUGGUGCCAAUACCUGCAGCCUUAUGGCUGGAUGAUAAGAG